Molecule: ribosomal RNA, 404 nt
Filed under: Actinomycetes bacterium
Lineage: Bacteria; Bacillati; Actinomycetota; Actinomycetes
Description: Actinobacteria bacterium partial 16S ribosomal RNA
Rfam family: Bacterial small subunit ribosomal RNA
Source: RNAcentral
UGGGGAAUAUUGGACAAUGGGCGCAAGCCUGAUCCAGCCAUGCCGCGUGAGUGAUGAAGGCCCUAGGGUUGUAAAGCUCUUUCACCGGUGAAGAUAAUGACGGUAACCGGAGAAGAAGCCCCGGCUAACUUCGUGCCAGCAGCCGCGGUAAUACGAAGGGGGCUAGCGUUGUUCGGAUUUACUGGGCGUAAAGCGCACGUAGGCGGACUAUUAAGUCAGGGGUGAAAUCCCGGGGCUCAACCCCGGAACUGCCUUUGAUACUGGUGGUCUUGAGUUCGAGAGAGGUGAGUGGAAUUCCGAGUGUAGAGGUGAAAUUCGUAGAUAUUCGGAGGAACACCAGUGGCGAAGGCGGCUCACUGGCUCGAUACUGACGCUGAGGUGCGAAAGCGUGGGGAGCAAACAGG